UUCAACCUCACCACAAAUCGUUAGAACAGAUAGAUGGUUGCGGCUGCGAGGAGACGGCGAAUCGUUGCUGGUAAUUGCCGACUGAUAUUUUGGGGUUCAUACAAAAGAUAAACACGGGCUGCCUAAUGAUAUGGAGGUAGUAGACAUCUUUUUGCUGGAAUUUUUCUGUGCAAUUUGUUAGCUGGGUAUUCUUCGGUAUGGUUUUCGGUUUAUAAAAAUCAUUUAUUUAUUUAUUUUUGUUCAUUAUACUUGGGAAUUACUGCCUUCCACUGGUGUAGUUAGUAGGAUUGAGCUUGUUCUGAGGAUGAGCGGAUCGAUGGAUUCUGCCAAAAAGCUUUGCAUAACCUUAAAAGCAAUUACUUCUAACUAGAAAUUCAAAGCAUUGCAAUGGCUAUGUUAAAGCUACCAGUACCAAUUAGUAGCCUUGCUCCUGUCAAAUUCACGCCAUUUCUAUCUAAGUCCAAUGACUUGGCUUCUCCUCUCCUGGACCCAAUGAAGCUCUUGAAAGUGGCUGCAGACGCCAAAAACUUAAAAUUUGGUAGAACAAUCCAUGCCCAUUUGAUCAUUACCAAUCGCCUCCCUGGAGACUGCAGGGUAAACCAAAUUAAUUCUCUUAUUAAUUUGUAUGUGAAAUGUGAUGAACUAUUCAUUGCUCGGCAGAUGUUCGAUAGAAUGUCGAAAAGAAAUGUGGUUUCUUGGUGUGCUUUAAUGGCUGGGUAUAUGCAAAAUGGGAGUCCCUUGGAAGUUUUUGAGUUGUUCAAAAAGAUGAUAGUGAAGGAUAAUAUUUUCCCCAAUGAAUAUGUGAUUGCCACUGUUAUAUCUUCUUGUCGUGAUAGUCAAAUGUAUGUAGAGGGGAGGCAGUGCCAUGGGUUUUCCUUAAAGUCUGGAUUGGAGCUUCAUCAAUAUGUUAAGAAUGCACUUAUUCAGAUGUACUCUAAGUGUUCAGAUGUAAGAGCAGCAUUGAAGAUAUUAGAUACUGUGCCAGGUUAUGACGUAUUUUGUUAUAAUUUGGUUCUAAAUGGGCUUCUAGAGCAUUCACAUGUGAGAGAAGCUAUAGAAGUUCUGAAGUUAAUGAUUGGUGAAGGCACAAAAUGGAAUAACGCCACUUUCGUUACGAUUUUUCGCAUUUGUGCUAGUCUUAAAGAUUUAAAAUUCGGUAAGCAUGUUCAUGCUCGAAUGUUGAAAAGUGAUAUCGACUACGAUGUCUAUAUUGGAAGUUCUAUCAUUGAUAUGUAUGGGAAAUGUGGUAAUGUGUUGAGUGGAAGAGCCUUUUUUGAUCAGUUGCAAAACCGAAAUGUUGUUUCUUGGACAGCAAUCAUGGCAGCUUAUUUUCAGAAUGGAUUCUUUGAAGAAGCAUUGAAUCUGUUUUCAAAGAUGGAAAUUGAUCAUAUUCCUCCUAAUGAAUAUACACUGGCUGUGUUGUUAAACUCUGCUGCAGGUUUGUCCGCACUAAGCCAUGGUGAUCAGUUACAUGCUCGUGCCGAAAAAUCUGGUCUCAAGGGCAAUGUUAUAGUAGGGAAUGCCUUGAUCAUAAUGUAUUCCAAGAGUGGGGACAUUUUAGCAGCACAAUGCGUGUUCUCAAACAUGAAGUGUUGUGAUUCCAUUACCUGGAAUGCGAUAAUAACUGGUCACUCUCACCAUUGUAUCGGUAAGGAAGCGUUGAACAUAUUCCACGACAUGUUGACUGCUCGAGAAUGUCCCAAUUAUGUGACCUUUAUUGGUGUUCUUUCUGCUUGUGCCCAUUUAAGUUUGGUAGAUGAAGGAUUGUACUAUUUUAAUCAUUUGAUGAAACAAUUUGGUAUUGUUCCUGGGUUGGAACACUAUACCUGCAUUGUUGGACUUCUAAGUAGAUCUGGACGACUCGAUGAAGCUGAGAAUUUUAUGAGGUCGAAUCCAAUCAAUUGGGACGUUGUUGCAUGGCGCACCCUUCUCAAUGCUUGUUAUGUUCAUAGAAAUUAUGAUAAAGGGAAACAAAUAGCAGAGUACUUACUACAGAUGGAUCAUGAGGAUGUAGGAUCUUAUAUUCUGUUAUCAAACAUGCAUGCGAGAGUUAGGAGAUGGGACGGUGUCGUUAAGGUUCGAAAAUUGAUGAGAGAAAGAAAUGUGAAGAAAGAACCUGGAGUGAGCUGGUUAGAAAUAAGAAAUAUUGCCCACGUUUUUACAUCCGAAGAUAAUAAACACCCCGAGUCGAGUCAGAUUUAUGAAAUGGUAAGGGACUUGUUAACCAAGAUUCGACCAUUGGGGUAUGUUCCUGAUAUUGCUGGUGUGUUGCACGAUAUUGAGGAUGAGCAAAAGCUCGACAAUCUUAGCUAUCAUAGCGAGAAGCUUGCUGUAGCAUAUGGCCUGAUGAAAUUACCAUCAGGUGCACCGAUUCGGGUGAUUAAGAACCUUAGGAUGUGCGAUGAUUGUCACACUGCUAUCAAACUUAUUUCAAAGCUUGCAAAUAGGACUAUAAUUGUUAGAGAUGCCAACCGUUUCCAUCAUUUUCAAGAUGGUUUUUGCUCGUGUGGAGAUUAUUGGUGAAAAUUUUGAUAAGUUUCUCAAUGGCUUGGAUGUUUUGAUGAUAAAAGGUUGCGAGCCAUGAUUCUGUGGUAGCAGAGAUAUCAAUAUACUCUACUAUUUCAGGCUGGUAUUAGGCACACAUGACACAAGUUGAGCCGACUAGGUCUGCACGUCGGGUUUCUACUUUUCCAGUGGUUGAACAUGUAGCUAUUUAGUUGGGGUGACUCUAGAAAACUUGAUUAAUUGGAAGAUUACAUCUCUGCCUACAUUAAUUGGUGGGCUUGUGUGGAUUCCCUCCGACCAAAGAAAUACUUCAUUCUUGCAACAGUGGCACGGCAGUUCAACCAAGAAAGGAAGUCCUUUGGGAGGAGGGUGAUUAUGGCUAUGACUUGAAUGGCUCAUUGACUAAGAGACAAAAAAGAUAGAUCGAUCUCUGGAUUUGCCUCCCUAAAAAGGUCGAAGAUUGGCUGCUUGAUGCUGUGAUGGGAACCUGUUUUAGAGGCAAAGCUAAGAUCCUUGGGGCUGUGCGUUAAAUCUACUUUAUGGUUAACUUGAAAGGAGCAUAAUCUUCUUUUGGUUAUACAACGCUUGUUGGAAUGCAUAUUGUUAGUAUCUGAGGCUGAAUGUGCAGUAACCGCAGGAGUUAUGAGCUGUUGGAAUGAUUUGGUUCAGUAGUUUUUGACAGAGCAUUUUCUGCUCUCAAAGAUUGCCAACGCUUCAAAGCUAAAUCACUUCAUUCAUUCUAGCAGUGGGAGGAGGAAUCGCUACAUGAAACUUGGGAGAGGCUCAAAGAAUGCUUGCGAAACUGCCUGAAUCAUGGUAUUCAAAUACAGACCUUAUACCAAUGGUUGCCAACACUUGAACGGUUGCUUCGAUUGAGGGGCACUUUUCUCCCAGACUUAUAAGGAUACCCGUCAUUAUACUGGACCCUCUAAUUCAUCCCUUUCGAGGCCCACCAUCCUUGCUGGCAUACUUUGGGGCUUAGUUUCUUUGCUGACACAUUAUCCGAUGUCUAGUUCCGUUACCAUUUGUCUACUGAUAUUGGCUUCUCUAGGCUUUCUCUUUCGAAUUUCGCGUCUACUUUAAAAGAGUUUUUUUAUCCUUUUUACACUCUUAUAAACAAUGCUCUGUUCUCUCUCACUGUCAAGGGAUCUCACCGUAUCUAUUUGUUUAGUUAGAUUAUUUAGCUCCUAUUUUGUUUUUGGUUCAUGAUCUAACCAAACAAUAGUUUAUAUUUGUUUGUA
Cucurbita moschata (crookneck pumpkin) is the source of this 3746-nucleotide RNA transcript. It is a transcript of the gene named pentatricopeptide repeat-containing protein At5g39680, with no coding region annotated. The transcript is spliced from 3 exons. Lineage: Eukaryota; Viridiplantae; Streptophyta; Magnoliopsida; Cucurbitales; Cucurbitaceae. The record is from RefSeq and is a predicted model, not a curated record.